Molecule: ribosomal RNA, 382 nt
Filed under: uncultured eukaryote
Lineage: Eukaryota
Description: partial 18S ribosomal RNA
Rfam family: Eukaryotic small subunit ribosomal RNA
Source: RNAcentral
UGUAAGCGUAUACCAAAGUUGUUGCAGUUAAAACGCUCGUAGUCGGAAUUUGGCAGUUCCGGAUGUGUGCACGUCGUGUGCGCACUUCGCGGGGAUUGCUUUUGUGGUCUUGCGUAGGAUGAGGCACUUUUAUUAGUGAACGUCCUCACGCAACCACUUUUUACUGUGAGAAAAUCAGAGUGCUCAGAGCAGGCAUUUUCCGUGAAUGUAUUAGCAUGGAAUAGUAGAAUAGGACUCGGUUCUAUUUUCUUAGUUUGUUGGGACUGAGUAAUGAUUAAAGGGGACAGUUGGGAGCAUUUGUAUUUCGGUGCUAGAGGUGAAAUUCUUAGAUUGCCGAAAGACAAACUGCUGCGAAAGCGUCUGCCAAGGAUGUUUUCAUUGA